This 253-nucleotide ribosomal RNA is filed under the name uncultured Nocardioidaceae bacterium. RNAcentral's name for it is "partial 16S ribosomal RNA". It matches the Rfam family "Bacterial small subunit ribosomal RNA", at positions 524 to 776 of the family's 1533-position model. The record is from RNAcentral. Lineage: Bacteria; Bacillati; Actinomycetota; Actinomycetes; Propionibacteriales; Nocardioidaceae.
UACGUAGGGUCCGAGCGUUGUCCGGAAUUAUUGGGCGUAAAGGGCUCGUAGGCGGUUUGUUGCGUCGGGAGUGCAAAUCCAGGGCUUAACCCUGGACUUGCUUCCGAUACGGGCAGACUUGAGGUAUUCAGGGGAGAACGGAAUUCCUGGUGUAGCGGUGAAAUGCGCAGAUAUCAGGAGGAACACCGGUGGCGAAGGCGGUUCUCUGGGAAUUACCUGACGCUGAGGAGCGAAAGUGUGGGGAGCGAACAGG